Non-coding RNA from Pelobates cultripes (western spadefoot toad), 219 nucleotides. The record is from the annotation of a GenBank genome assembly. Lineage: Eukaryota; Metazoa; Chordata; Amphibia; Anura; Pelobatidae.
CUUUUCUGGGUCCCACAUAAACUACGCCAGAAAGAGAUUCUGUUGAAUCAAACCACAAUUGGGGUAUAUAAACACCUGGACGAUGGACACACCUAUGUACAUCUUACACUUAGCCAAUUCCACCUUUGACCAUCGGCUGUGGAUUGGGGGAGGGUGCACGUUGAUCAGGCACCUCUAUAACCAAGGGAGGUUGUUACACUUCCCAGACCUGCAGCAGAG